Rana temporaria (common frog) is the source of this 97-nucleotide small nucleolar RNA. RefSeq annotates it as small nucleolar RNA U13. The record is from RefSeq and is a predicted model, not a curated record. Lineage: Eukaryota; Metazoa; Chordata; Amphibia; Anura; Ranidae. The transcript has a single exon.
AUCCUUCUGGUUCUAGGGAAUGAUGAGUGGGUAGUCACAUGGUUUUGUGAAAUGUGCAACUCUAGUUGUUACGACUGAGCACAUCACCCUUCUGACC